AGUGAACGCUGGCGGUAGGCCUAACACAUGCAAGUCGAACGGCAGCACAGUAAGAGCUUGCUCUUACGGGUGGCGAGUGGCGGACGGGUGAGGAAUACAUCGGAAUCUACUUUUUCGUGGGGGAUAACGUAGGGAAACUUACGCUAAUACCGCAUACGACCUACGGGUGAAAGCAGGGGAUCUUCGGACCUUGCGCGAUUGAAUGAGCCGAUGGCGGAUUAGCUAGUUGGCGGGGUAAAGGCCCACCAAGGCGACGAUCCGUAGCUGGUCUGAGAGGAUGAUCAGCCACACUGGAACUGAGACACGGUCCAGACUCCUACGGGAGGCAGCAGUGGGGAAUAUUGGACAAUGGGCGCAAGCCUGAUCCAGCCAUACCGCGUGUGUGAAGAAGGCCUUCGGGUUGUAAAGCCCUUUUGUUGGGAAAGAAAAGCAGCAGGUUAAUACCCCGCUGUUCUGACGGUACCCAAAGAAUAAGCACCGGCUAACUUCGUG
This 492-nucleotide ribosomal RNA is filed under the name uncultured bacterium. RNAcentral describes it as "partial 16S ribosomal RNA". It matches the Rfam family "Bacterial small subunit ribosomal RNA", at positions 29 to 507 of the family's 1533-position model. The record is from RNAcentral.